UGGUUAAGCUACUUUUUAUUUGAAUAAGGAUUUUUUUUUUAAUUUUUGAGGGAAUAUUCUUUAAGGUCAAAGGUUAAAGACCAAAGAUCAAAAGGUUAAAGAUUAAAGGUCAAAGGCCAUAGGUCAUAGGUCAAAGGUUAAAGGUCAAAAGGUUAAAGGUCAAAGGUCAUAGGUCAAAAGGUUAUAGGUCAAAGGUUAAAGGUCAAAAGGUUAAAGGUCAAAAGGUUAAAGGUCAAAGGUCAUAGGUCAAAAGGUUAUAGGUCAAAGGUUAAAGGUCAAAAGGUUAAAGGUCAAAAGGUUAAAGGUCAAAGGUCAUAGGUCAAAAGGUUAUAGGUCAAAGGUUAAAGGUCAAAAGGUUAUAGGUCAAAGGUUAAAGGUCAAAAGGUUAUAGGUCAUAGGUCAAAGGUUAAAGGUCAAAGUCCUAGGUCAUGGGUCUAAGGUCAUAUGGUUAAAGGUCAUAGGUCAAAGGUUAAAGGUCAUAGAUCAUGGACCCGAUUCGGGACGCGACCCUAGUCGGGACUAAAGAGUUCUGCUCCUUUUUUUUUUAUCUUUGAAUCGAUGACUCAGGGGAGGACUGCGUUAGCUUUGCUUUCCCCAGA
Daktulosphaira vitifoliae (grape phylloxera) is the source of this 599-nucleotide long non-coding RNA. RefSeq lists it as uncharacterized. The record is from RefSeq and is a predicted model, not a curated record. The transcript has 5 exons. NCBI's taxonomy places the organism in Eukaryota, Metazoa, Arthropoda, Insecta, Hemiptera, Phylloxeridae.